This 26-nucleotide non-coding RNA is filed under the name Callithrix jacchus (white-tufted-ear marmoset). The record is from RNAcentral. Lineage: Eukaryota; Metazoa; Chordata; Mammalia; Primates; Cebidae. RNAcentral also lists the same sequence under 1 other name.
UUUCAAGAAGUUUGGCUGUCAAGGAA